This 8546-nucleotide long non-coding RNA is filed under the name Sorghum bicolor (sorghum). RNAcentral describes it as "long non-coding RNA (SBIC_LNC013870)". Lineage: Eukaryota; Viridiplantae; Streptophyta; Magnoliopsida; Poales; Poaceae. The record is from RNAcentral.
AGACUCUUCAUCGAUCAUUCAGUUGUCUGCUGCUGGUGGGAUGUGCGGCGGGUUAGGCUUUGGUUUGGGCUCCGGCUUGGGUUCAGGCUUUGGUUUUGGUUCAGGCUUAGGCUCCGGUUUGGGUUCUGGUUUCGGCUUGGGCUCGGGCUUUGGUUCAGGUUUAGGCUUAGGCUCAGGCUUAGGUAGUGGUUCGGGUUUUGGUUCCGGCUUCGGCUCAGGCUUAGGCUCGGGUUUUGGUUUGGGCUCGGGCUUAGGCUCUGGUUUGGGUAGUGGUUCUGGUUUUGGUUCUGGCUUGGGCUCGGGCUUAGGCUCUGGUUUGGGCAGUGGCUCUGGCUUUGGCUCUGGUUUUGGCAAUGGUUUGGGCUUUGGUUCCGGCUUGGGCUCAGGCUUAGGCUCUGGUUUUGGUAGUGGUUCAGGUUUUGGUUCCGGCUUGGGUUCAGGCUUAGGCUCGGGCUUUGGUUCCGGCUUGGGCUCAUGCUUAGGUUGCAGUGGUUCGGGUAUGGGUUCUGUGCUUGGGUUCAGGCUUAGUGCUCGGUGCUUUGGGUAUCGUGCUUGGGCUCAGGCUUAGGCUCCGGUAUCGGCAUCGGUUCGGGCUUUGGUUCUGGCUAGGGCUCAGGCUUAGGCUCAGGUUUUGGUUUUGGCAUGGGCUCAGGUUUUGGUUCAGGCUUAGGCUCCGGCUUAGGCUCAGGCUUAGGUUUUGGUUCUGGCUUGGGCUCCGGUUUUGGCAGUGGUUCAGGCUUGGGCUCAGGCUCGGGUUUUGGUUCAGGCUUAGGCUCAGGUUUUGGCUUUGGCUCAGGCUUUUUUGGCUUUGGCUUUGGUUCAGGCAUAGGCUUGGGCAUCGGUUCGGGUUUGGGCUUUGGCUCUGGCUUCGUUAUGGGUUUAGGUUGAGGCUCAGGUUUAGGUUCAGGUUUCGGCGAAGGCUCUGGAUGAGGCUCAGUUUUUGGCUCUGGACGUGGCUUGGGCUCUGGUUUAGGUUCAGGUUUGGGCUCUGGCUGUGGCAGGGGCUGCGGCUGAGGCUGGGGUUCCGGUUUGGGUUGUGGCUCCGGCUGCGGCAGCUCGGCGGCAGCACGUCCAUGCUUGCGCGCGAAGCGGCCGCCAUGGCCAAGCCCGACGCCGGCAGCCGCCGCUUCGUCGACGAAGAAGGCGGUGGCAGUGGCCGCCACGGCUCCCAGAAGCACGGCGAGGAGAAGGCAGCAUGAAGAGAGGCGACGCGUCGCCGCCAUGGCUGCUUCGCUGCUCCUGCAACAAGCAAGCUCGCCUGCUAGCUAGCUCUCUGCUGCUCUGUGUUGCUCUCUCUGUUUCUCUUUCUGGAGCAGCUGUUGGUAGUGCCUGAGUGCAGUCUCUGUUGUGUGUCUGUGGUGUGGAUGACGGGGUGUGGUCAUGGGUCGGAUUUAUAGCGCGCGAGAGCCAACCAAGUUUUGACGCGUGGAUGGGCUGUCUGCCCAGCUAAUAACACGUUUGCCCUCCGCCGUAUCAACGGGUAGGUAACAGGUAAGCCCCGUGUUAAUGUUAUUCAACGGAUAGCAGUAGCACGUAACUUUCAGUACUUUUAAUUUUUUUUUUAGGAAAAACUUUCACUUUUACUUUCUCAUGGAUUCUUCCAUCCAUUUCUUGUUCCAACAUACUCUCUAGUCUCUCUAUACACGCUGCUGCCUGCCAUGCGAGUCACCGCGCGCAUAUCACACACCCGACGACGUGUACGUUUGCUGCUAACUUUUUUGAUGAUACACGGGACGACAGGUAGGUAUUUGUUAGCUUGUGGUUGACGACGCAAACUGCCGCGCGCGCGCUGUUGACCAGCGAGCCAGCUAUGUAUACUGUAUGUGUGAAGAUUCAUCCCCAGGACAGUGAACAUCUUGCUUUGAGAGGUAGCAAAGAUAUUUUUAUGGUGUGUGGACGAUGGAUGCAUGACAAAGAGCUAGCUAGCCAUCGUCAUGCAUCUUCACCUGUCGCGCGCUGCUGCACAAGCACAUGCAUGGUCCUGGAACUCUCAGAUCAUCAUCCUAUAGUACUACGGCGAGCUGAUUGGUGUGCCAUGCAUGUCUACCGGUGGACAUCAUGUAUGGCCUUGUUUAGUUCCAAAAAUUUUUGCAAAAUAGGAAUAGUAUCACUUUCGUUUGUAUUUGACAAAUAUUAUUCAAUCAUGUACUAACUAGACUCAAAAGAUUCGUCUCGUCAAUUUCGACCAAACUGUGCAAUUAGUUUUUAUUUUCGUCUAUAUUUAAUACUUCAUGCAUGCGUCUAAAGAUUUGAUGUGAUGAAGAAUCUAAAAAAUUUUGCAAAAUUUUUUGCAACUAAACAAGACCUAUGCAUGGAAGCGGGGCACUGCAUCAGCUCGUGAAGCUCAUCGCCAAAGGGAGAGGACACACAGGACCGGCACUGUGAGACACAUGAUUGGCGAUGCAUGGUUACAUUGCAGGCCACUGCAGGACAUCAGAUUGUGUAGUGAGUGAGAGUAUGAGAGUGACGCUACGCACGCCGUACGUAUACACGUCGUAGAACUUUGGAUUUCCUGCGUGACCGACACGGCAGUUGUCGACAUCGUGCUUUUGCCUGCAGGUCCAAGGUGAUGGUAAACCAGUCAAUCAGACCUGUAAGUAAAUAAUAGUAUCCUACAGACCUUUAACUUGUUGAAUUACGCAUAGCUUGCGUCGGUGCGUGGUUGAAAAACCAUCCCAAAAGUUCAUCUAGCUAGAAAAUUCACAGUUUUAUCACUAUAGCUAGGUUAAAAGGGACACGUACAUACGUCGCUGCCCUAUAGGCUGGGCAGUGUUGUGUGUGGCUGUGCAAUAAGCACAGUCGUGGAUGAACGGAUGAUGCACAGUGUGGUGGCGACCCGACCGUGUUGAGGCUCAGGCGUCAGGCUCACAGUCAGCAGCUAGCGAACGCGCCGUGGCGGGGUCAGGGUCGGAGGCGUACGGUACGGCUUGCCGGAGCGGUGCACUCGUCCCUUGUUCCAACGGCGAUGUCCUUUUCUGCUUGGAUGUUUUCGCCAUCCUCUCCUGCCACCGACCCGACAUUGAUGACACUGACGUCCCAACCACUGCAAGCGGGCUGUGUGCCUGUGUAGCUACUGCUAAUUAACAUAUGCAUCCACAACGCUCUCAGUACCAAUCUCGUACCAAGCUAUCCCGUCUCUUCAUUAAGAGACACUGUUGUGCAUUAAUUUGCUCCUAGGUCGUCGUUGUUCCUCAAUACUGCGCAUUUUUUGUUUUUCAAAUAUAAAACGACGCACGCUUCUACACUUGUAUACUACACCGGAGUGGCUGAAAUUAUAUAUAUGUUAUUAUCCAUGUGUCCUCUUAGUUAUACUCAUGCAUGUCACUCUACAAAAAAUGAUAUAUACACCAAAUCAAAGGAAUCGCAAAAGGCUGUUAGAUAGUCAGGGCAUGCCAUGUCUUAGCUAAAAUAUAGCUAGCUAAUUGUUACAGCUAACUUUAGCUGGUAGUGUGUUGGGAUACACCAGCUAUUUCAAAACAAUGGACCAUGCUACCCCUCAUUAACCCUAGUCGUCUUUCAUUUCUCUCUAGCUAUUUUCUCUCUCCUAUCUUGGCAACGGCAGUACCCCUCCCGGCCUCCUCAAUAGAUGGCGAGAUCCUCGCCCCUUCCCUCAUCCUGGUGGCUACUCCGGCGCAUCUUCCUCCCAUAGUGGUCGGGGCGGUUCUUCCCCACCUAAUGGUGGCGCACGGGCAGCCCGAGCAGCACAUCCGGAGCACCAGACAUGUAGAUAUGGCAGCGGUGGAGCACCCUUAAUUCCAUCGGUGACGACGGCGUCCCCGUUCCCCUCCAUACACCAGCUACAACACAUCCCGGCGCUCCCUCUCUCCUUCACCCACGAUGGCUAGUGCGGCAGCAUGCGGUGACGCCUCACUCCCGCAACAUCGCCUCCUCCCACACCUGACGGUAGUUGUGGUCGUCCUCUCCUACCCUGACAGCGAUGGUGGUGGCCCCCUCCACCCCCAUAGUGACUGCAGCGGCUCCCCUCCACACUGGCGGUGGUGGAUCUACUGUACCCUUGACGUCCUACGGUAGAUCCGAUGGCACCUUCCCCCGCUGGUGGCGCCUAUCUCUAUGGUGGGGCCGCCCUCCCUGCGAUGGCGCACGAGAAGCCCUGGUGGCGGAUCCAGUAUCCACAGUGCACAGAUCCAGACACGCAGAAGGGAAGAAGCGGGUGCAGUGCUGGCCCUAUGGGAGGGGCAGCAGGUGCGCAGGCCAUGGGCCCUAGCGACUUGGGGGUCUAACCCUAGGUAUGUAUAUUCUAGUAUACGUAUAGGUUAAGGGCUAAGUCAUUGGUUUUUGUUCCAGGAGGCAGCGCAGGACGAAGCCACACGAGCCGAUCAGCCGAGCGGCCGCCGCCAACACACGCCAACACCUGUCGCUGCGUUUAGGGGCUUUAGGCAAUUACCAAUCAGGUUCUUAUUAUUUGAUUAAUUAAUUUAGUUUUGUAUUUUCUAUUAUAAGAUCGUGCCAAAUUGUGUAGGUUCUAGGUUUUUUUUUCUCUUGUUCAAUUUUUGUCUAUGUGCACUAUCGAAAGAGAUAUCUUAGACACGAUUGAUCUCAAUACCAUCCUUGAUGAUUUUGCAUCAAGAAAUGCCCGAAAAAGUAUAUUUAUAUAAAAAGCAAUGAGUAUGAUGGAGUUCUGUUCUUUUUUAAGGUAAUCAUAUUAGUUCUAUAAGUACAAAUAUAUUAUUUUUUAAUCUACAUUGUUUCUCGAUCUUGAUAAUUAUCAAACAUGUUUAAUUUUAAAUAUAUUAUUGCAUUUAGUUUUCCUUUAUAAGUAAAAUUAGCCUAUAUAUUAUAGAGGAAAAAGUCUAAAUUACUCCUCUCAAGUUUGUCCUACGUUCAGAUUACCCCCUAAACUUACAUUUGAUUCAGUUUUCUUCCUCCAACCAUUUUAAUUGGUCUAGUUUACCCCUUAACAUGAUUUGUUAUUUGUGUUUUUCCACAUAUAAGUUGAGUUUUAAUAUCAAGUUUUGUGAUAUAUUGGAGAACAUUAUAAGUUAUGUUAGAAAAAAUAUAUCUUAACUUUUUACCAAAUUUUUGAUAGCUUAGGAAAUUUAAAAAUAAAUUAACAGUAGAGAUACAAUAUCAUAAAAAAUAUAAUGACGAAAAAAUUAUAUUGGAUUUUUCUAACACAAAAUUCAAAGUCCUCUAUCACCUCACAAAAUUUGAAACUAAAAUAUAAUUUGUGCAUAGAGAAACAAAAAAGAAAAAACUUUUUAAGGUAUUAGUUGGACCAACUUAAAUAAUUGGAGGGAGUAAAUAGAACCAGAUGUUAGUUUAGAGAGUUAUUUGGACUUUUUUCUAUUAUAGACUAGAGAACCCGUCGCGACGAACUCCGUCCCUCAAAAUCCUAGGGCCGGCGCUGAGCGGGUGGUGCGGACGUUGAUGCAGAAAUAAAUUGGUAAUUAUCUAGUUUUAUAGCUACCAUUAGUUGGGUUGGAACAACUAAUGAGAUUAGUUGAUCCCCAUUAGUUGGGAGGCCUUUAGCUAAGUUUUGUCAUGACCUAUUUAGAUUCAUCAUAGCUAAAUUGGGGUGCUAAAUUUUAGUCCGAUAUCCACCAUGGCCACGGGCCGGGGAUGGUCCCGUCGAUCGUCACGUGAAGCAGUUACGUAUGCCUUAAUAACAUGUAUAUACGCGUGUGCAGUUUAGUCAAGGCUAUACUUUCUUUUCGUGUCAAAAUUAAUUAUAUGUCGGCUUCUGUCUUUCAAUGCCUUGAUAACAAGAAACUGUUUCCAAGAUUCACCGAGUAUGUAACACCUCUCUAGCUGCUUGAAUGGCCACGGUUGUCCCGUUGUUGGCAACCUUUGCUAUCCGACGCAUAUCUAUAGAAAUUGAAGGGUUAUCAUUGUCGGCUCUUAUCUUUCACCACACAAGCGUCUGCAUGCAAUAUAGUAUUGUGUCACCAAUUUCUUUGCCUUGCAUUGGUCUUCUCCAUCACAGAUAUGGAUAUCAUCAGGACCAUUUCCUUGUGGACUUGCGGUGCCCGGCCGUGCUGUGCCACACUACUAUGCGUCCGGCAUGCAUUAUUGCAUUGCUAGCUAGCGCUGCUCCAGUAGAACGAUGGCGUUGCUGAUUAUAUUCCCAUGGAGAUGUAGUUGAUGGGGCGGCAAAUAAUCUGGAUCCACCACUACUACAGUCAGGUACAACAGGGGCGGCUAAAUAAGCUCUGUAAGAGCGGCUGGCCCAGCCGCUCUUAUGCAAACGCUCUUACAGUGGAAUUCACUGUAAGGGCGGUUCAACACCAGCCGCUCUUACAGUGGCCCACUGUAAGGGUGGUUGGAAACAACAACCGCCCUUACUAGUGACCACUGUAAGAGCGGCUGGUGCUUCCAGCCGCCCUUAUAGUGAGCAUUAGUAAGGGCGGCUUGUGUCUCAGCCGCCUCUAUUGUCUGCAUUUGCAACGGCGGCUCAAUCUAGAACCGUCCCUACAGUUAUUUUUCAGAAAAAAAUAAAAAUUACAAUAAUCGAGUUGACAGCACAGCACAACACCACAUACAUAUAUACAUAUAUAAUCAGAUUCUCAACAUCACAUAUUCACAACAUAAAUAUCCAUACAUAUACAAAGCACCACAUUUAUAGUCCAACACAUUUCAAGUCCAAAAUGUUUCCAAGUCCAUUACAAAUCCAUCCAAAAGAGUCCGAAAUUUUUCAAGUACUAAUACAAAUCGAUCACAGUCCAUUCCAACAAGUUCAUAUGUAAUCAAGAGCCUAUCCCACUGACGGAGGUGCUAGUAAAGAGGAUUGCUACCUAAGUUGGACUGUGGGUUAUGGUAAUCACCUUUGUAAUAAACAACAUGGUCCAUUAUAAAGUUGCAAAGGUCACCGACAAUCUCUAAGAGGUCAUCAUCCCUAUAGACAUCCCUUUUUAGUCCUUUUUCUUCUUUCCACUACAAGAUCGUAAAAGACAAGUUUAGGUCUAGUGUAAAGAAGAGAUUGCAAAGCUAAGUGACAAAUACUAUAUUUUCAUACUACAACCCACUAAGAGAUUCAAACUUACCAAUUCAGGGUGUCUCCUGUAGCCUUUUGUGUUACUGAUGAAAGCACAUACAUAGUAUCCACAAUGCAGACUUCCUGGCCUUUGCUUGGGAAACUUUGUUUCAAUUUGCAAAUGGAGAUGUGUCAAGUAUAAGUACUGAAAAAAUUAGUAAUUUUAUGCCAAACUAAGUCGCACUUACCGAACAUAGAGAUUUGAAACGCAAGUGGCUCCCCAAACCUGGAUCAUGCCUUCGUUUGUGAUUCUUGACAUAGGCCCUGAAUGCCCUGUUUGAAUGAGAAUCGAUGUGACUUAUAGUAUGCAGAAGUCGAUAUUAAAGUGAAUCAUAUAAGGUUACUAGGAUUAUAAAUUUGCUUACGUAAUGAGAAUUGACAUGAAGUCUUUAUAUGUGUGAGGGUCAAAAUCUGCAGAAUCACAAAUCCAUGCCAUGUUCAUCCCGACAUCGACACCUAUGACUAUCCAGUGAUUGCUACAACAAUUUUAAAUAAACACAUAAGUACCUUUGCAUCAAAAUAAGAUAAACCGAACAAUCGUUAAGUAUACAAUUAAUCGAACUUACUUGAAGUGGUAUGGAAUCCAUAUUGUUUCGAAGUGUUGGAGAUUCUUUAAACAUACGGCAAUCCACGCCGCAACCUUAAGAGACUCUUCUCUUAUUUUGGCCGCACGGAUCUUUUCUUUCUCCGCCAACGUCCCUCCAGCAGCUAGCUGUGGCGCAUCCAAGUCCCAUCUCGAUGGGUAAUUAAAAUUUAUUUGUGCUAUAGGCAUAGGGUCUACAUACCAGGCUUUCGUUGAGCGUGUAGAUUUCAUAAAGUUUGCUUGCAUUCUAAAAAUCAUGACGGAAGUUAGUUUUAGCAAAAUCAAACUAGGUUACUUUCAGAUCAUAUCAAGAGGAAGAGGACUUACAGGCACCAAGUGCGAAUCAGAUUCAUCGACAUUGAACUAAGGUGAAAGCAUGAUUGGAUGUCGCUGAAGUCAAAGGCAAUACCCGAAGCAGGGCGUCCAAAUAUGCGAGCAGGUAUUACUGCUUCCAACACAUUCAGUUCUGUACGUGAAACAUGCAAGUAGUACCAAUCAUGGAUCCUUCUCAUUCCAUAUGGCAUCUUACACAAGAUCCGGUUUGGUAGGAAACGUUUGCCUUUUACAUAUUCUUUCGGGCAAUCCUUUGACCACUUGAUGGUUUCAACAUCUGGAUACUUUGUUAUCGUUGUGUAGUCUGAGGUGUCAGUGGGCAUCCUGUAGGCAAAUUUGUUCGGGCCUUGGUUCUCAGGCUUGAACUGGUCAUGAGCAUACCACUUGUACAUACCCGAGAUGUUCAUAUCCACAAAAGAUUUUGACCCUGUCAACCUUAUCAUGAUGGGGAUCUUUUCACGAGCUUCACAUACUAGAGGGAGUAGUUCUUCAUGUGUCGGCGGUGCUUGUUGAAAAGUCUGUGCCAUCUCAUCAUGGCCUUGCUCGGGGCGAGCUGGAUAAGGUUGUGGCUUAGGAGGCACAUGUGGUGUCUCGUCAUGCUCUGACUCGGCACGAGCUGUAGAAGGUUUUGGGCUAUGA